This is a long non-coding RNA of Phlebotomus argentipes, 484 nucleotides long. RefSeq lists it as uncharacterized. Lineage: Eukaryota; Metazoa; Arthropoda; Insecta; Diptera; Psychodidae. The transcript has 2 exons. The record is from RefSeq and is a predicted model, not a curated record.
CACAAUGAUCACAAUCUCACGUAAGUUUUCAAGCCAUGGAGUAUCAUAUAAAUAUUGCGAAAUGUGAUCAAACCAUUACCAUUAAGUGAACUCUCUCUCAGACGCGAUGUCCCUUAAAUUCAACUCACUGUUUUUAGUCCUUCUACUUCUGGCAAUGAUCAUCUCCAAUGAUCAAGCCUUUGCGCAAUACCUAAGUGAAAACAAUAAUCAAAUGGAGUCAAAUUGCUUUGGUUCAAGCGGGUCCGGCGGGUCAUCAGGUAAUUCUGGCGGUUCAAGCGAUUCAUCAGGUGAUUCAAGCGACUCAGGAUCAUCAAGUGACAUGCAAAGCCAACCAAUGAUGUCGAUGAAUCCAUAUCCAUACGACAAAAAAACCGUUAAAAUGGCAUGAGCCAGCAACUUCUUCAGCAUCUCUCAGACAUAAAUCUGAGAACCGCGACACUUACGCAUUGCAUGUGGAGAAUUGAGAAUAAAUUAUUCAUAAUUA